RNAcentral lists this ribosomal RNA (433 nucleotides) under uncultured bacterium. RNAcentral's name for it is "partial 16S ribosomal RNA". It matches the Rfam family "Bacterial small subunit ribosomal RNA", at positions 29 to 507 of the family's 1533-position model. The record is from RNAcentral.
AACGAACGCUGGCGGCAUGCCUAACACAUGCAAGUCGAACGAUGCCUUCGGGCAUAGUGGCGCACGGGUGCGUAACGCGUGGGAAUCUGCCUUUCGGUUCGGAAUAACUCAGGGAAAGUUGAGCUAAUACCGGAUAACGUCGCCGGACCAAAGAUUUAUCACCGUUAGAUGAGCCCGCGUUGGAUUAGCUAGUUGGUAAGGUAAAGGCCCACCAAGGCGACGAUCCUUAGCUGGUCUGAGAGGAUGAUCAGCCACACUGGGACUGAGACACGGCCCAGACUUCCACGGGAGGGAGGAGUUGGGAAUAUUUGACAAAUGGCGAAAGGCUGAACCAACCAUUCCGCGGUAGGGAAGAAGGGCUUAGGGUUGGAAAGCCCUUUUACCCGGGAAGAUAAUUGCGAGACCGGGAGGAUAAAGCCCGGCUAAACCCGGU